RNAcentral lists this ribosomal RNA (505 nucleotides) under uncultured bacterium. RNAcentral's name for it is "partial 16S ribosomal RNA". It matches the Rfam family "Bacterial small subunit ribosomal RNA", at positions 28 to 507 of the family's 1533-position model. The record is from RNAcentral.
GGCGAACGCUGGCGGCGUGCCUAAUACAUGCAAGUCGAACGCACAGUUUAUACCGUAGCUUGCUACACCAUAGACUGUGAGUUGCGAACGGGUGAGUAACGCGUAGGUAACCUGCCUGGUAGCGGGGGAUAACUAUUGGAAACGAUAGCUAAUACCGCAUAAUAUUGAUUAUUGCAUGAUAAUUGAUUGAAAGAUGCUAUUGCAUCACUGCCAGAUGGACCUGCGUUGUAUUAGCUAGUAGGUGAGGUAACGGCUCACCUAGGCGACGAUACAUAGCCGACCUGAGAGGGUGAUCGGCCACACUGGGACUGAGACACGGCCCAGACUCCUACGGGAGGCAGCAGUAGGGAAUCUUCGGCAAUGGACGAAAGUCUGACCGAGCAACGCCGCGUGAGUGAAGAAGGUUUUCGGAUCGUAAAGCUCUGUUGUAAGAGAAGAACGGGUGUGAGAGUGGAAAGUUCACACUGUGACGGUAUCUUACCAGAAAGGGACGGCCAACUACGUG